This 330-nucleotide unclassified non-coding RNA is filed under the name soil metagenome. RNAcentral describes it as "partial contains 5.8S ribosomal RNA, internal transcribed spacer 2, and large subunit ribosomal RNA". The stretch from base 1 to 120 matches the Rfam family "5.8S ribosomal RNA", at positions 35 to 154 of the family's 154-position model. The record is from RNAcentral.
GAUGAAGAACGCAGUGAAAUGCGAUAAGUAAUGUGAAUUGCAGAAUUCAGUGAAUCAUCGAAUCUUUGAACGCACAUUGCGCCCCCUGGUAUUCCGGGGGGCAUGCCUGUUCGAGCGUCAUUUCACCACUCAAGCCUCGCUUGGUAUUGGGCAUCGCGGUCCGCCGCGUGCCUCAAAUCGACCGGCUGGGUCUUCUGUCCCCUAAGCGUUGUGGAAACUAUUCGCUAAGGGUGUUCGGGAGGCUACGCCGUAAAACAACCCCAUUUCUAAGGUUGACCUCGGAUCAGGUAGGGAUACCCGCUGAACUUAAGCAUAUCAAUAAGCGGAGGA